Molecule: microRNA precursor, 123 nt
Filed under: Pelobates cultripes (western spadefoot toad)
Lineage: Eukaryota; Metazoa; Chordata; Amphibia; Anura; Pelobatidae
Source: RNAcentral
ACCAUAAUAUAGCGCGAUCCGUGUAGUCGCUAGAUGUUCAACAAAAAUUUACUAAAUAGUAAAUAUGAGAGAUACCUAGCUGGACAUCUAGCGACUACACGGAUCGCGCUAUAUUAUGGUCGU